This 2989-nucleotide ribosomal RNA is filed under the name Salmonella enterica subsp. enterica serovar Gallinarum/Pullorum str. RKS5078. It matches the Rfam family "Bacterial large subunit ribosomal RNA". Lineage: Bacteria; Pseudomonadati; Pseudomonadota; Gammaproteobacteria; Enterobacterales; Enterobacteriaceae. The record is from RNAcentral.
GGUUAAGCGACUAAGCGUACACGGUGGAUGCCCUGGCAGUCAGAGGCGAUGAAGGGCGUGCUAAUCUGCGAUAAGCGCCGGUAAGGUGAUAUGAACCGUUAUAACCGGCGAUACCCGAAUGGGGAAACCCAGUGUGAUUCGUCACACUAUCAUUAACUGAAUCCAUAGGUUAAUGAGGCGAACCGGGGGAACUGAAACAUCUAAGUACCCCGAGGAAAAGAAAUCAACCGAGAUUCCCCCAGUAGCGGCGAGCGAACGGGGAGGAGCCCAGAGCCUGAAUCAGCAUGUGUGUUAGUGGAAGCGUCUGGAAAGGCGCGCGAUACAGGGUGACAGCCCCGUACACAAAAGCGCAUGUGCUGUGAGCUCGAUGAGUAGGGCGGGACACGUGGUAUCCUGUCUGAAUAUGGGGGGACCAUCCUCCAAGGCUAAAUACUCCUGACUGACCGAUAGUGAACCAGUACCGUGAGGGAAAGGCGAAAAGAACCCCGGCGAGGGGAGUGAAAAAGAACCUGAAACCGUGUACGUACAAGCAGUGGGAGCACAGGUUUACCUGUGUGACUGCGUCCCUUUUGUAUAAUGGGUCAGCGACUUAUAUUCUGUAGCAAGGUUAACCGAAUAGGGGAGCCGGAGGGAAACCGAGUCUUAACCGGGCGUUAAGUUGCAGGGUAUAGACCCGAAACCCGGUGAUCUAGCCAUGGGCAGGUUGAAGGUUGGGUAACACUAACUGGAGGACCGAACCGACUAAUGUUGAAAAAUUAGCGGAUGACCUGUGGCUGGGGGUGAAAGGCCAAUCAAACCGGGAGAUAGCUGGUUCUCCCCGAAAGCUAUUUAGGUAGCGCCUCGUGAAUUCAUCUCCGGGGGUAGAGCACUGUUUCGGCUAGGGGGCCAUCCCGGCUUACCAACCCGAUGCAAACUGCGAAUACCGGAGAAUGUUAUCACGGGAGACACACGGCGGGUGCUAACGUCCGUCGUGAAGAGGGAAACAACCCAGACCGCCAGCUAAGGUCCCAAAGUCAUGGUUAAGUGGGAAACGAUGUGGGAAGGCCCAGACAGCCAGGAUGUUGGCUUAGAAGCAGCCAUCAUUUAAAGAAAGCGUAAUAGCUCACUGGUCGAGUCGGCCUGCGCGGAAGAUGUAACGGGGCUAAACCAUGCACCGAAGCUGCGGCAGCGAACGUAUCACUUAAAGCGAUUCAGCGGGUUACGAUUGACGGAGCGAAGCGACGUCAAAGCGUAUACAAAGUCGAGUCGGUUUAAGGAUACGUUCGUUGGGUAGGGGAGCGUUCUGUAAGCCUGCGAAGGUGGCCUGUGAGGGUUGCUGGAGGUAUCAGAAGUGCGAAUGCUGACAUAAGUAACGAUAAAGCGGGUGAAAAGCCCGCUCGCCGGAAGACCAAGGGUUCCUGUCCAACGUUAAUCGGGGCAGGGUGAGUCGACCCCUAAGGCGAGGCCGAAAGGCGUAGUCGAUGGGAAACGGGUUAAUAUUCCCGUACUUGGUGUUACUGCGAAGGGGGGACGGAGAAGGCUAUGUUGGCCGGGCGACGGUUGUCCCGGUUUAAGCGUGUAGGUGUGUGUUCCAGGUAAAUCCGGUUCACUUUAACACUGAGGCGUGAUGACGAGGCACUACGGUGCUGAAGUAACAAAUGCCCUGCUUCCAGGAAAAGCCUCUAAGCAUCAGGUAACAUCAAAUCGUACCCCAAACCGACACAGGUGGUCAGGUAGAGAAUACCAAGGCGCUUGAGAGAACUCGGGUGAAGGAACUAGGCAAAAUGGUGCCGUAACUUCGGGAGAAGGCACGCUGACACGUAGGUGAAGUGAUUUACUCACGGAGCUGAAGUCAGUCGAAGAUACCAGCUGGCUGCAACUGUUUAUUAAAAACACAGCACUGUGCAAACACGAAAGUGGACGUAUACGGUGUGACGCCUGCCCGGUGCCGGAAGGUUAAUUGAUGGGGUCAGCGCAAGCGAAGCUCCUGAUCGAAGCCCCGGUAAACGGCGGCCGUAACUAUAACGGUCCUAAGGUAGCGAAAUUCCUUGUCGGGUAAGUUCCGACCUGCACGAAUGGCGUAAUGAUGGCCAGGCUGUCUCCACCCGAGACUCAGUGAAAUUGAACUCGCUGUGAAGAUGCAGUGUACCCGCGGCAAGACGGAAAGACCCCGUGAACCUUUACUAUAGCUUGACACUGAACAUUGAGCCUUGAUGUGUAGGAUAGGUGGGAGGCUUUGAAGUGUGGACGCCAGUCUGCAUGGAGCCGACCUUGAAAUACCACCCUUUAAUGUUUGAUGUUCUAACGUGGACCCGUUACCCGGGUUGCGGACAGUGUCUGGUGGGUAGUUUGACUGGGGCGGUCUCCUCCUAAAGAGUAACGGAGGAGCACGAAGGUUGGCUAAUCCUGGUCGGACAUCAGGAGGUUAGUGCAAUGGCAUAAGCCAGCUUGACUGCGAGCGUGACGGCGCGAGCAGGUGCGAAAGCAGGUCAUAGUGAUCCGGUGGUUCUGAAUGGAAGGGCCAUCGCUCAACGGAUAAAAGGUACUCCGGGGAUAACAGGCUGAUACCGCCCAAGAGUUCAUAUCGACGGCGGUGUUUGGCACCUCGAUGUCGGCUCAUCACAUCCUGGGGCUGAAGCAGGUCCCAAGGGUAUGGCUGUUCGCCAUUUAAAGUGGUACGCGAGCUGGGUUUAGAACGUCGUGAGACAGUUCGGUCCCUAUCUGCCGUGGGCGCUGGAGAACUGAGGGGGGCUGCUCCUAGUACGAGAGGACCGGAGUGGACGCAUCACUGGUGUUCGGGUUGUCAUGCCAAUGGCACUGCCCGGUAGCUAAAUGCGGAAGAGAUAAGUGCUGAAAGCAUCUAAGCACGAAACUUGCCCCGAGAUGAGUUCUCCCUGAGACUUAGAGUCUCCUGAAGGAACGUUGAAGACGACGACGUUGAUAGGCCGGGUGUGUAAGCGCAGCGAUGCGUUGAGCUAACCGGUACUAAUGAACCGUGAGGCUUAACCUU